AGUUAUGAAGUAAUUUCAAUCGAUAGCAAAUGAAAUCUGGUCCACUGAUUAAAUUAGUUAAAUCUGAUUCAAAAAAAAAAGAGAAGAAAGCUCAAGAACUAGCAGCCAAGACCAAUAAUGUACAAAAAGAAGAUGAAAAAGAUAAAGAGAACGGAAAGAAAGACAAGCAAGCAAGCAAGAACGAAGAAGAAGAAGAAGAAGUGGAGGAGGAGGAGGAGGAAGAAGAAGAAUACGACGGGAGGUGGAGGAAAAGUAUUAUAUUUCCCCUUUUGGUAUAGCUUGCUAGCGGCUUCCCCCAAUUUUAAUUCCCCCUAAAAUUGAUUAAAUUAGGUUUUAGUCAAUUUAUCCUUCAUUUAAUUUAAAGGAUCAAGCUGUCAAUUUAUAAACUUGAGGGCAACUCCACAAUACGUAAUCAUUGAUUACAUAAUUGUCAUUUACAUCCAAUACUUAAGACUUAUGUCACCGCUCAAUUUAUUUUGAAACCUUACCGUCUCUUUUUUAUAAAAGUCCCUACUUAGUAGAAGCAUGGGUAAGCAGCUGAUAUCAACACGCUUGCUUGUCUGUAAUAAAUAUUUAUGUUGAGGACAAUUUUGAUGUUUCACCACACCUAUACAUAUAGGUGUCUUUCAUUCUGAAAAGUCACGUAAGAUACCACUUUUCUAUUCACUUUUCUCUACAUAGAUAGAUCAAAAACCAAAUCUACCAUAACUUGUUCUGUUUCCAUAUUCUGAUUUUGAGUAAUUUCUUUCAGAUUUCAGUCUGUUUUGCGCUACUUGACAUUUUUGGAUGGUUCAACGUUCCAAAUUAUGAAUUUCUUGAUGUCAUGUAUCUUUAAAAUAAGGGGAAUUGGAUCUUGGAACGGAAGAAACAUAAGUUAUAUUUGAAUCUCCUUUCACAAAAGUCGAACAAGUGGCACUGCAUCAAUAGUUGUUUCGACCUAGGUUGGCAUUACUGCAUGUUCAUUAAACAGUUAUGUUGUCAACAAAUGUAACGACUCUACAUACUCUACUCGCUAAGUUUUUUGAAAUUAGGUAUCAUAAGUGUGAUUUUGUUACAUCUUGGCACUCAAGUCAAUGUAGGUUACUGCAUAAUGUUGUUAAGCACUAUAUCUAAUUGAAGAAAUAUAUUAAUAUUGUUGUUUUUUGGAA
Solanum lycopersicum (tomato) is the source of this 1148-nucleotide long non-coding RNA. RefSeq lists it as uncharacterized. Lineage: Eukaryota; Viridiplantae; Streptophyta; Magnoliopsida; Solanales; Solanaceae. The record is from RefSeq and is a predicted model, not a curated record.